Molecule: ribosomal RNA, 467 nt
Filed under: uncultured bacterium
Lineage: Bacteria
Description: partial 16S ribosomal RNA
Rfam family: Bacterial small subunit ribosomal RNA
Source: RNAcentral
GACGAACGCUGGCGGCGUGCUUAACACAUGCAAGUCGAACGGAAAGGCCCUGCUUUUGUGGGGUGCUCGAGUGGCGAACGGGUGAGUAACACGUGAGUAACCUGCCCUUGACUUUGGGAUAACUUCAGGAAACUGGGGCUAAUACCGGAUAGGAGCUCCUGCUGCAUGGUGGGGGUUGGAAAGUUUCGGCGGUUGGGGAUGGACUCGCGGCUUAUCAGCUUGUUGGUGGGGUAGUGGCUUACCAAGGCUUUGACGGGUAGCCGGCCUGAGAGGGUGACCGGCCACAUUGGGACUGAGAUACGGCCCAGACUCCUACGGGAGGCAGCAGUGGGGAAUAUUGCACAAUGGGCGGAAGCCUGAGGCAGCAACGCCGCGUGCGGGAUGACGGCCUUCGGGUUGUAAACCGCUUUCGCCUGUGACGAAGCGUGAGGGACGGUAGUGGGUAAAGAAGCACCGGCUAACUACGG